This 77-nucleotide transfer RNA is filed under the name Chloroflexota bacterium. RNAcentral's name for it is "Chloroflexi bacterium (cold seep metagenome) tRNA-Asp". It matches the Rfam family "tRNA". From Rfam's summary of the family: Transfer RNA (tRNA) molecules are approximately 80 nucleotides in length. Their secondary structure includes four short double-helical elements and three loops (D, anti-codon, and T loops). The record is from RNAcentral. Lineage: Bacteria; Bacillati; Chloroflexota.
GGCCCCGUAGUGUAGCGGCCGAACACGCCACCCUGUCAAGGUGGAGAGCGUGGGUUCAAAUCCCAUCGGGGCCGCCA